GACGAACGCUGGCGGCGUGCUUAACACAUGCAAGUCGAACGGAAAGGCCCUGCUUUUGUGGGGUGCUCGAGUGGCGAACGGGUGAGUAACACGUGAGUAACCUGCCCUUGACUUUGGGAUAACUUCAGGAAACUGGGGCUAAUACCGGAUAGGAGCUCCUGCUGCAUGGUGGGGGUUGGAAAGUUUCGGCGGUUGGGGAUGGACUCGCGGCUUAUCAGCUUGUUGGUGGGGUAGUGGCUUACCAAGGCUUUGACGGGUAGCCGGCCUGAGAGGGUGACCGGCCACAUGGGGACUGAGAUAGGGCCCAGACUCCUACGGGGGGGAGCAGGGGGGAAUUUUGCACAAGGGGCGGAAGCCUGAUGCAGCAACCCCGCGGGCGGGAUGCCGGCUUUCGGUUUGAAAACCGCUUUCGCCGGGGAGGAAGGGGGGGGGAGGAUAAUGGAUAAAGAAGCACGGGCAAAUUCCGUC
This 468-nucleotide ribosomal RNA is filed under the name uncultured bacterium. RNAcentral describes it as "partial 16S ribosomal RNA". It matches the Rfam family "Bacterial small subunit ribosomal RNA", at positions 28 to 507 of the family's 1533-position model. The record is from RNAcentral.